AGUGUUCAACAAAUUUCGUAUAACCUUCCCCUAGUACUCCUCUUGCUCCCAACUCCCCAUACACCCACCGCGGUGUUUUGGCAACCAAACGGUACAGACCCUACAAAAAACGGAAGCCCCCUCCUUUGGCUCCAUCUACCUGCCUCCCCAUCAAAAGUCUUACUCACCUACCCCUCGCUCCUCGCCAUGUUAAUUAUUAAGGGUCGGUACACUGGCCGCCAACUGUUUGGCAGGGACCCCCACUCUAUAAUCAUUCCAUACACCCAGGACCAAUUAACCUGGCUCCUGCAAACCUCUGACGAAUGGGCCAUUGCAUUAUCCUCCUUCACAGGAGAGAUAGACAAUCAUUACCCCAGUGACCCUGUUAUCCAAUUUGCCAAGCUUCACCAGUUCAUAUUCCCCAAGAUCACAAAAUGUGCCCCAAUUCCUCAAGCCACGCUAGUUUUCACUGAUGGAUCCUCAAACGGAAUUGCUGCAUAUGUUAUUGAUAAUCAACCCAUCUCAAUAAAAUCCCCCUACCUGUCAGCUCAACUUGUUGAGCUCUAUGCUAUUCUCCAGGUGUUCACAGUUCUAGCUCACCAACCGUUUAACUUGUACACUGACAGUGCGUAUAUUGCUCAAUCAGUCCCUCUUUUGGAGACAGUCCCCUUUAUCAAAUCCUCAACCAAUGCUACCCCCUUA
Molecule: unclassified non-coding RNA, 681 nt
Filed under: Human type D retrovirus
Lineage: Riboviria; Pararnavirae; Artverviricota; Revtraviricetes; Ortervirales; Retroviridae
Source: RNAcentral